Molecule: transfer RNA, 158 nt
Filed under: Euroglyphus maynei
Lineage: Eukaryota; Metazoa; Arthropoda; Arachnida; Sarcoptiformes; Pyroglyphidae
Rfam family: tRNA
About the family: Transfer RNA (tRNA) molecules are approximately 80 nucleotides in length. Their secondary structure includes four short double-helical elements and three loops (D, anti-codon, and T loops). Further hydrogen bonds mediate the characteristic L-shaped molecular structure. tRNAs have two regions of fundamental functional importance: the anti-codon, which is responsible for specific mRNA codon recognition, and the 3' end, to which the tRNAs corresponding amino acid is attached (by aminoacyl-tRNA synthetases). tRNAs cope with the degeneracy of the genetic code in two manners: having more than one tRNA (with a specific anti-codon) for a particular amino acid; and 'wobble' base-pairing, i.e. permitting non-standard base-pairing at the 3rd anti-codon position.
Source: Rfam by way of RNAcentral
GCAGCUAUGGCCGAGUGGUUAAGGCGAUGGACUUGAAUUAAUCCAUUCAUGAAAAAAUCAUUGAAAGGUGAAAUCCAAUGAACCUGAUUCAUAUAUACCCAGGUUCAAUAGAAAUCCAUUUCCCAUUGGGAGCGCAAGUUCGAAUCUUGCUGGCUGCG